RNAcentral lists this ribosomal RNA (305 nucleotides) under uncultured bacterium. RNAcentral describes it as "partial 16S ribosomal RNA". It matches the Rfam family "Bacterial small subunit ribosomal RNA", at positions 337 to 644 of the family's 1533-position model. The record is from RNAcentral.
GCCUACGGGAGGCAGCAGUGGGGAAUAUUGCACAAUGGGGGAAACCCUGAUGCAGCGACGCCGCGUGAGUGAAGAAGUAUCUCGGUACGUAAAGCUCUAUCAGCAGGGAAGAAAAAAAGUCUUUGGCUUUGGACGGUACCUGACUAAGAAGCCCCGGCUAACUACGUGCCAGCAGCCGCGGUAAUACGUAGGGGGCAAGCGUUAUCCGGAUUUACUGGGUGUAAAGGGAGCGUAGACGGUGAUGUAAGUCUGGAGUGAAAGGCGGGGGCCCAACCCCCGGACUGCUCUGGAAACUAUGUGACUGG